AUCCCUUUUUGGCAUUCUGGCUUAGAUCAAGUAUAGUAUCUAGUUUUAUGAAGAAUUGAAUUUUAUUUUGAUGUGAAUUGCAUUGAAUCUAUAUACUGCUUCAGGAAGUAUGGACAUUUUUGCAAUAUUAAUUCUGUCCAUCCAAGCACA
RNAcentral lists this small RNA (150 nucleotides) under Marmota monax (woodchuck). The record is from RNAcentral. Lineage: Eukaryota; Metazoa; Chordata; Mammalia; Rodentia; Sciuridae.